UAGGGAAUCUUCCGCAAUGGACGCAAGUCUGACGGAGCAACGCCGCGUGAGUGAAGAAGGAUUUCGGUUCGUAAAACUCUGUUGUUAGAGAAGAACAGCGCAUAGAGUAACUGUUAUGCGUGUGACGGUAUCUAACCAGAAAGCCACGGCUAACUACGUGCCAGCAGCCGCGGUAAUACGUAGGUGGCAAGCGUUGUCCGGAUUUAUUGGGCGUAAAGCGAGCGCAGGCGGUCAAUUAAGUCUGAUGUGAAAGCCCCCGGCUCAACCGGGGAGGGUCAUUGGAAACUGGUUGACUUGAGUGCAGAAGAGGAGAGGGGAAUUCCAUGUGUAGCGGUGAAAUGCGUAGAUAUAUGGAGGAACACCGGUGGCGAAAGCGGCUCUCUGGUCUGUAACUGACGCUGAGGCUCGAAAGCGUGGGGAGCGAACAGG
RNAcentral lists this ribosomal RNA (429 nucleotides) under Bacteroidota bacterium. RNAcentral describes it as "Bacteroidetes bacterium partial 16S ribosomal RNA". It matches the Rfam family "Bacterial small subunit ribosomal RNA", at positions 355 to 776 of the family's 1533-position model. The record is from RNAcentral. Lineage: Bacteria; Pseudomonadati; Bacteroidota.